RNAcentral lists this long non-coding RNA (967 nucleotides) under Homo sapiens (human). RNAcentral's name for it is "non-protein coding HAGLROS:6". Lineage: Eukaryota; Metazoa; Chordata; Mammalia; Primates; Hominidae. The record is from RNAcentral.
AGCGAGCGGCCAGGCUGCGGGCGGGGUGGGCUGGCGCUCCUGAUCCACCUGGAACACUUUUGCAAAGACAGACGGUGAGUUAAUCACCCUACCGGCUGGCGGCCGCGUCCCCUCUCGCCCGCGAGGAGGACUGGAGAAGGGGCUGGGGUGGAGGUUUUCUCUGUGUGUGUCUAGGGUUGGGGGCAGGAGAGGUUAGUUCUAUUAAGAGUUCAUCAAUCACCCGGUGUGCACUUUUCGCUCGACAGCGGUUCCUCCUACUUCAGAGCAAGUCUGGGCCAGCUGGGAUCCGACCAGAAAUCGCAAGCGGAGGAGACGCAGUAGCGCAGGCUGAGCGCUAACUGAAGGCGCGACCUGAGCCCGGCGCCUGCUGGGGAGCUGCGCAGCCAGGACAGCGGUCGGCAGCACAGGGCCUGGGCGCAGGGCCCGCCGUCACCACCUCACGUCGGAAGCCAGCACUGCUGCCCGCCAGCCCUGCCGCCUGCCCUCGGACUUCCCAGGGCGCCCAGGGUCCUCCCAACGCGCCUGCACCCACACCCGCCCCUGAGCCACAGUGACCUUGCAUUCCCCGCCCCCUGCCACACCUCCUGCGUGCCCGAGUGUCACCCUUAAAUACCGCUCUACACCCAGAGAGGGACGAAUACACCUCUGAAGACAGGGCAAGACUAAUUUCAAUGGGUCAGAAGGUUCUUGCAGGCACUGUUUUAUUUAAGAGUGCCUAUUUACUGGCAGGAGUAUUUGUGUGGGAGGAAGUAGGCUAAGACUGCUGUUGAACUUGAAGCUAAACUUGAAUGCCAUUUAAAAUAACAAUAAAAAUAUACUUAAAACACCAAUCACAAUGAUAUGACUCACCUCUUUCCAGUGUGGAGGAAACACUCCAGUAUUUUUACCUCCGUUCUUUCCGGUGUAUUUUAAGAACACCCUAAAGGGAUAGACAGUAAGUGUCUGAGGGUAGUCACUAGCAUUAGAG